CAAGUAUGAAUUCUGCUAUUUUCCGUUUCUUCUUUUUCUUUAGCUCCUGAAUCAGGAGGCUUGCGCGUAAGAGAAGAAACGAAAACUAGCGCCUAAAGCCUCCUAAAGGAGGCUUUUUUAUU
Molecule: non-coding RNA, 122 nt
Organism: Pragia fontium
Lineage: Bacteria; Pseudomonadati; Pseudomonadota; Gammaproteobacteria; Enterobacterales; Budviciaceae
Source: Rfam